GAACUGUCCUAACGUUGUUCGGAAUCACUGGGCUUAAAGGGCGCGUAGGCGGUCCGACAAGUCAGGGGUGAAAUCCUGCAGCUUAACUGUAGAAGUGCCUCUGAUACUGUCGGUCUUGAGGGAGAUAGGGGUGUGCGGAACUUCCAGUGGAGCGGUGAAAUGCGUUGAUAUUGGAAGGAACGCCGGAGGCGAAAGCGGCGCACUGGAUCUCUACUGACGCUGAGGCGCGAAAGCCAGGGGAGCAAACGGGAUUAGAUACCCCGGUAGUCCUGGCCCUAAACCGGAUGAGUACUAGAUUGUAGACUGAUCAUGGGUUUACAGUCGAAGCAAAAGUGUUAAGUACUCCGCCUGGGGAGUAUGGUCGCAAGGCUG
RNAcentral lists this ribosomal RNA (372 nucleotides) under uncultured bacterium. Its description in RNAcentral is "bacterial SSU rRNA". It matches the Rfam family "Bacterial small subunit ribosomal RNA", at positions 527 to 896 of the family's 1533-position model. The record is from RNAcentral.